RNAcentral lists this long non-coding RNA (1006 nucleotides) under Phoenix dactylifera (date palm). RNAcentral's name for it is "long non-coding RNA (PDAC_LNC016450)". Lineage: Eukaryota; Viridiplantae; Streptophyta; Magnoliopsida; Arecales; Arecaceae. The record is from RNAcentral.
GGAGUGAACCAAAAACAAAUGUUGAAUUGCUAGGAAAAGUAUAUUAGGGAGAUUGAGUGAUGAUAACUAGAGUCUCGAGAUAGGGUUUAUGAGCAUAUUGCCAUGAAGCAAGCAAUGUUUCUGGUCAAAAAGAAUUAUCUAAAACCAAUUUCAUUUGCCAUCAGUUGGUCUUACAUAUAGUCCAGAGGGAAAAAAGAAAAGAGUAAUGUUAACGGAUAUGAUGCAACGGAAAAAAUAUAACAACCUAGAAUCUCACUUAAAAAAAAGCUAGUUAAAUGGUGUUAUUUAUAUUUUUUGGUCCUAUAUAAAUACCAAGAUCUUUCGAGCACAUAAUUAAUAUAGGACUAAAUAUACAUUCAUAUAGGUACUUACAAAAAGUUAAAUUAGAGGAUCAAAGAAGAGGCACAGCAUGGUUUAUACCGCCUGCUUAGUUUUCACUUAUUAAAGAGUUAAAUGGGUCAGUAAGCUUUAAAGUUAUAUAUAUCUUUUAGGCUCCAACACAACAUACAGACAAUACAAAUAUGAAUUUGAAUCAGCCUAGGUUAGGGAAAAGGCUCUAGAGAAAUUAUAUUCUGGAUUGUAUAUCACACUUAACCUUGCCUAACAAAACACCUGGCUAACAUGGGCUAACUUCGAGUCUAAUCCAUCUUCAACUUGCCCUUUCUGACGUACGUUACGCCAUUUUUGGACACCGAAGGUUUCCCCAACCCAAAGCAACACUAGAUCACCAGGCCCCCUUUACCCAGGACUAAUCCAAAAUUGAUGAGCUCCAGUUAAUGGCCUAGAAUUAAUGCUCCCGGUGGUCCAUUUAAUAAUUCUCCAAAUCCACCCAACCAUCACCUGCCAGGUGUUCUAUUGGUGGCGGCUUGGACCGGAGCACUGCGCUAGUCAAUUGUCAACCUGCAACUCUCUAGAGGAACAAGAAAUAUUAAACAUCUCUCGUCACUCAUCACCUGCUUUGAACGAAUCAACCAACCCUUUUCUUUCUUCGUCCCUAGAUCCUAUC